UCCGUAGGCGGUGCGGCAAGUCGGAAGUGAAAUCUCCGGGCUUAACUCGGAGGCUGCUUCCGAAACUGCCGUGCUCGAGUGCGAGAGAGGCAAGUGGAAUUGCGGGUGUAGCGGUGAAAUGCGUAGAUAUCCGCAGGAACAUCCGAGGCGAAAGCGGCUUGCUGGAUCGCAACUGACGCUGAGGGACGAAAGCUAGGGGAGCAAACAGGAUUAGACACCCUGGUAGUCCUAGCCCUAAACCAUCAGGACUUGGGGUUUGCCCUGUACGGGGCAAGUCCCGGAGCUAACGCGUUAAGUCCUGCGCCUGGGGAGUACGGUCGCAAGGCUGAA
Molecule: ribosomal RNA, 330 nt
Filed under: uncultured bacterium
Lineage: Bacteria
Description: bacterial SSU rRNA
Rfam family: Bacterial small subunit ribosomal RNA
Source: RNAcentral